GUGCUUGCACUCUCUGCCGGCGACUGGCGCACGGGUGAGUAACACGUAUGCAACCUGCCCUCCACAGGGGGACAACCUUCCGAAAGGGAGGCUAAUCCCGCGUAUAUGGUACCGGGGCAUCCCGGGGUCAGGAAAGGGUAACACCGGUGGAGGAUGGGCAUGCGGCGCAUUAGGCAGACGGCGGUGUAACGGACCACCGUACCGACGAUGCGUAGGGGUUCUGASAGGAAGGUCCCCCACACUGGUACUGAGACACGGACCAGACUCCUACGGGAGGCAGCAGUGAGGAAUAUUGGUCAAUGGGCGGGAGCCUGAACCAGCCAAGCCGCGUGAAGGAAUAAGGCCCUACGGGUCGUAAACUUCUUUUGUCAGGGAACAAAAGCGAGUAUGUAUACUAGUCUGAGUGUACCUGAAGAAAAAGCAUCGGCUAACUCCGUGCCAGCAGCCGCGGUAAUACGGAGGAUGCGAGCGUUAUCCGGAUUUAUUGGGUUUAAAGGGUGCGUAGGCGGUUCGGAAAGUCAGCGGUAAAAGCCCGGGGCUCAACCCCGGCGAGCCGUUGAAACUGACGGACUAGAGAAGGCGAGAGGUACGCGGAAUGCGCAGUGUAGCGGUGAAAUGCAUAGAUAUUGCGCAGAACUCCGAUUGCGAAGGCAGCGUACUGGCGUCUGACUGACGCUGAGGCACGAAAGCGUGGGGAUCGAACAGGCUUAGAUACCCUGGUAGUCCACGCAGUAAACGAUGAAUGCCGGCUGUUUGGGAUAAAUGAGUCCUGAGCGGCGAAGCGAAAGCGAUAAGCAUUCCACCUGGGGAGUACGCCGGCAACGGUGAAACUCAAAGGAAUUGACGGGGGCCGCACAAGCGGAGGAACAUGUGGUUUAAUUCGAUGAUACGCGAGGAACCUUACCCGGGCUCAAACGCAACGCGAAUACUUUUGAAAGGAGGUAGCCAGCAAUGGCGCGUUGCGAGGUGCUGCAUGGUUGUCGUCAGCUCGUGCCGUGAGGUGUCGGCUUAAGUGCCAUAACGAGCGCAACCCCUACCGCCAGUUGCCAACAGGUAAAGCUGGGAACUCUGGCGGGACUGCCGGCGCAAGCUGUGAGGAAGGCGGGGAUGACGUCAAAUCAGCACGGCCCUUACGUCCGGGGCGACACACGUGUUACAAUGGCAGGUACAGCGGGAAGCCACCGAGCGAUCGGGAGCGGAACCCGAAAACCUGUCUCAGUUCGGAUUGGAGUCUGCAACCCGACUCCAUGAAGCUGGAUUCGCUAGUAAUCGCGCAUCAGCCACGGCGCGGUGAAUACGUUCHCCGGGCCUUGUACACACCGCCCGUCAAGCCAUGGAAGCCGGGAGUGCCUGAAG
RNAcentral lists this ribosomal RNA (1356 nucleotides) under uncultured bacterium. RNAcentral describes it as "16S ribosomal RNA". It matches the Rfam family "Bacterial small subunit ribosomal RNA", at positions 76 to 1426 of the family's 1533-position model. The record is from RNAcentral.